This 61-nucleotide microRNA precursor is filed under the name Ptychodera flava. RNAcentral's name for it is "Pfl-Mir-29-P1_pre stem-loop". The record is from RNAcentral. Lineage: Eukaryota; Metazoa; Hemichordata; Enteropneusta; Ptychoderidae.
CUGAUUUCAAGCGGUGGAUAGAUUUCCACAACAAAAGUCUAGCACCAUUUGAAAUCAGUGU